GACGAACGCUGGCGGCGUGCUUAACACAUGCAAGUCGAACGGAAAGGCCCUGCUUUUGCGGGGUGCUCGAGUGGCGAACGGGUGAGUAACACGUGAGUAACCUGCCCUUGACUUUGGGAUAACUUCAGGAAACUGGGGCUAAUACCGGAUAGGAGCUCCUGCCGCAUGGUGGGGGUUGGAAAGUUUCGGCGGUUGGGGAUGGACUCGCGGCUUAUCAGCUUGUUGGUGGGGUAGUGGCUUACCAAGGCUUUGACGGGUAGCCGGCCUGAGAGGGUGACCGGCCACAUUGGGACUGAGAUACGGCCCAGACUCCUACGGGAGGCAGCAGUGGGGAAUAUUGCACAAUGGGCGGAAGCCUGAUGCAGCAACGCCGCGUGCGGGAUGACGGCCUUCGGGUUGUAAACCGCUUUCGCCUGUGACGAAGCGUGGGUGACGGUAAUGGGUAAAGAAGCACCGGCUAACUACGUG
This 468-nucleotide ribosomal RNA is filed under the name uncultured bacterium. RNAcentral describes it as "partial 16S ribosomal RNA". It matches the Rfam family "Bacterial small subunit ribosomal RNA", at positions 28 to 507 of the family's 1533-position model. The record is from RNAcentral.